Molecule: ribosomal RNA, 1617 nt
Filed under: Paraburkholderia sp. 31.1
Lineage: Bacteria; Pseudomonadati; Pseudomonadota; Betaproteobacteria; Burkholderiales; Burkholderiaceae
Description: partial 23S ribosomal RNA
Rfam family: Bacterial large subunit ribosomal RNA
Source: RNAcentral
GGUGAAAGGCCCCCUCGCCGUAAGCCCAAGGUUUCCUACGCAACGUUCAUCGGCGUAGGGUGAGUCGGCCCCUAAGGCGAGGCAGAAAUGCGUAGCUGAUGGGAAGCAGAUUAAUAUUUCUGCACCAUUGUGAAAUGCGAUGGGGGGACGGAUCGCGGAAGGUUGUCCGGGUGUUGGAAGUCCCGGUCCUUGCAUUGGAGAAGGCGCUUUGGCAAAUCCGGGCGCAGAAUUCAAGGGUGCGAGGCGAGCCACUUCGGUGGCGAAGCAACUGGAAGGGGUUCCAGGAAAAGCCUCUAAGCUUCAGUUUCACAGUGACCGUACCGCAAACCGACACAGGUGGGCGAGAUGAGUAUUCUAAGGCGCUUGAGAGAACUCGGGAGAAGGAACUCGGCAAAUUGGUACCGUAACUUCGGGAUAAGGUACGCCCUCAUAGCCUGACUGGCCUGCGCCAGAAGGGUGAAAGGGUUGCAAUAAACUGGUGGCUGCGACUGUUUAAUAAAAACACAGCACUCUGCAAACACGAAAGUGGACGUAUAGGGUGUGACGCCUGCCCGGUGCCGGAAGAUUAAAUGAUGGGGUGCAAGCUCCUGAUUGAAGUCCCGGUAAACGGCGGCCGUAACUAUAACGGUCCUAAGGUAGCGAAAUUCCUUGUCGGGUAAGUUCCGACCUGCACGAAUGGCGUAACGAUGGCCACACUGUCUCCUCCCGAGACUCAGCGAAGUUGAAGUGUUUGUGAUGAUGCAAUCUCCCCGCGGCUAGACGGAAAGACCCCAUGAACCUUUACUGCAGCUUUGCAUUGGACUUUGAACCGGUCUGUGUAGGAUAGGUGGGAGGCUAUGAAGUUGGGACGCCAGUCUCAAUGGAGCCGUCCUUGAAAUACCACCCUGAUCUGUUUGAGGUUCUAACCUUGGCCCGUGAUCCGGGUCGGGGACAGUGCAUGGUAGGCAGUUUGACUGGGGCGGUCUCCUCCCAAAGUGUAACGGAGGAGUACGAAGGUACGCUAGGUACGGUCGGAAAUCGUGCUGAUAGUGCAAUGGCAUAAGCGUGCUUGACUGUGAGACUGACAAGUCGAACAGGUGCGAAAGCAGGUCAUAGUGAUCCGGUGGUUCUGUAUGGAAGGGCCAUCGCUCAACGGAUAAAAGGUACUCUGGGGAUAACAGGCUGAUACCGCCCAAGAGUUCAUAUCGACGGCGGUGUUUGGCACCUCGAUGUCGGCUCAUCUCAUCCUGGGGCUGUAGCCGGUCCCAAGGGUAUGGCUGUUCGCCAUUUAAAGAGGUACGUGAGCUGGGUUUAAAACGUCGUGAGACAGUUUGGUCCCUAUCUGCCGUGGGCGCUGGAUAUUUGAAGGGGGCUGCUCCUAGUACGAGAGGACCGGAGUGGACGAACCUCUGGUGUACCGGUUGUCACGCCAGUGGCAUCGCCGGGUAGCUAUGUUCGGAAGAGAUAACCGCUGAAAGCAUCUAAGCGGGAAACUCGCCUUAAGAUGAGAUAUCCCCGGGGCUUCGAGCCCCUUGAAGGGUCGUUCAAGACCAGGACGUUGAUAGGUCAGGUGUGCACGUACAGUAAUGUACUGAGCUAACUGAUACUAAUUGCCCGUAAGGCUUGAUCCUAUAACAG